UCUCACCUUCACGCAGCAAGGAACAAGAUAAGACAACCUUCCGCAACAGUGGAGGACCGUUCUUCUUGGUCAAGGGUAUAUGAGUAGCUGCGCUCCUCUCCUAGAACAUCCAAACAAGCGUUCAAGAUGAUAAAGGAGCACAAAAGAGU
RNAcentral lists this small RNA (149 nucleotides) under Vicugna pacos (alpaca). RNAcentral describes it as "7SK RNA (ENSVPAG00000017611.1)". The record is from RNAcentral. Lineage: Eukaryota; Metazoa; Chordata; Mammalia; Artiodactyla; Camelidae.